CCUACGGGGGGCAGCAGUGGGGAAUAUUGGACAAUGGGCGAAAGCCUGAUCCAGCCAUGCCGCGUGUGUGAAGAAGGCCUUCGGGUUGUAAAGCACUUUCAGUGGGGAAGAAAGCCUUGGGGCUAAUACCCUCGAGGAAGGACAUCACCCACAGAAGAAGCACCGGCUAACUCCGUGCCAGCAGCCGCGGUAAUACGGAGGGUGCGAGCGUUAAUCGGAAUUACUGGGCGUAAAGCGGGCGUAGGCGGUCUGAUAAGCCGGUUGUGAAAGCCCCGGGCUCAACCUGGGAACGGCAUCCGGAACUGUCAGGCUAGAGUGCAGGAGAGGAAGGUGGAAUUCCCGGUGUAGCGGUGAAAUGGGUAGAGAUCGGGAGGAAUACCAGUGGCGAAGGCGGCCUUCUGGACUGACACUGACGCUGGGGUGCGAAAGCGUGGGUAGCAAACAGGAUUAGAUACCCAGUAGUC
This 464-nucleotide ribosomal RNA is filed under the name Vreelandella stevensii. RNAcentral's name for it is "partial 16S ribosomal RNA". It matches the Rfam family "Bacterial small subunit ribosomal RNA", at positions 338 to 795 of the family's 1533-position model. Lineage: Bacteria; Pseudomonadati; Pseudomonadota; Gammaproteobacteria; Oceanospirillales; Halomonadaceae. The record is from RNAcentral.